RNAcentral lists this ribosomal RNA (1434 nucleotides) under uncultured organism. RNAcentral describes it as "partial small subunit ribosomal RNA". It matches the Rfam family "Bacterial small subunit ribosomal RNA". The record is from RNAcentral.
UGCUUAACACAUGCAAGUCGAACGGAAAGGCCCUGCUUUUGUGGGGUGCUCGAGUGGCGAACGGGUGAGUAACACGUGAGUAACCUGCCCUUGACUUUGGGAUAACUUCAGGAAACUGGGGCUAAUACCGGAUAGGAGCUCCUGCUGCAUGGUGGGGGUUGGAAAGUUUCGGCGGUUGGGGAUGGACUCGCGGCUUAUCAGCUUGUUGGUGGGGUAGUGGCUUACCAAGGCUUUGACGGGUAGCCGGCCUGAGAGGGUGACCGGCCACAUUGGGACUGAGAUACGGCCCAGACUCCUACGGGAGGCAGCAGUGGGGAAUAUUGCACAAUGGGCGGAAGCCUGAUGCAGCAACGCCGCGUGCGGGAUGACGGCCUUCGGGUUGUAAACCGCUUUCGCCUGUGACGAAGCGUGAGUGACGGUAAUGGGUAAAGAAGCACCGGCUAACUACGUGCCAGCAGCCGCGGUGAUACGUAGGGUGCGAGCGUUGUCCGGAUUUAUUGGGCGUAAAGGGCUCGUAGGUGGUUGAUCGCGUCGGAAGUGUAAUCUUGGGGCUUAACCCUGAGCGUGCUUUCGAUACGGGUUGACUUGAGGAAGGUAGGGGAGAAUGGAAUUCCUGGUGGAGCGGUGGAAUGCGCAGAUAUCAGGAGGAACACCAGUGGCGAAGGCGGUUCUCUGGGCCUUUCCUGACGCUGAGGAGCGAAAGCGUGGGGAGCGAACAGGCUUAGAUACCCUGGUAGUCCACGCUGUAAACGGUGGGUACUAGGUGUGGGGUCCAUUCCCACGGGUUCCGUGCCGUAGCUAACGCUUUAAGUACCCCGCCUGGGGAGUACGGCCGCAAGGCUAAAACUCAAAGGAAUUGACGGGGCCCCGCACAAGCGGCGGAGCAUGCGGAUUAAUUCGAUGCAACGCGUAGAACCUUACCUGGGUUUGACAUGGAUCGGGAGUGCUCAGAGAUGGGUGUGCCUCUUUUGGGGUCGGUUCACAGGUGGUGCAUGGCUGUCGUCAGCUCGUGUCGUGAGAUGUUGGGUUAAGUCCCGCAACGAGCGCAACCCUUGUUCACUGUUGCCAGCACGUUAUGGUGGGGACUCAGUGGAGACCGCCGGGGUCAACUCGGAGGAAGGUGGGGAUGACGUCAAGUCAUCAUGCCCCUUAUGUCCAGGGCUUCACGCAUGCUACAAUGGCUGGUACAGAGAGUGGCGAGCCUGUGAGGGUGAGCGAAUCUCGGAAAGCCGGUCUCAGUUCGGAUUGGGGUCUGCAACUCGACCUCAUGAAGUCGGAGUCGCUAGUAAUCGCAGAUCAGCAACGCUGCGGUGAAUACGUUCCCGGGGCUUGUACACACCGCCCGUCAAGUCAUGAAAGUUGGUAACACCCGAAGCCGGUGGCCUAACCGAUGUGGGGGAGCCGUCGAAGGUGGGACUGGUGAUUAGGACUAAA